This 556-nucleotide ribosomal RNA is filed under the name Penicillium chrysogenum. RNAcentral's name for it is "eukaryotic LSU rRNA". The stretch from base 190 to 342 matches the Rfam family "5.8S ribosomal RNA". Lineage: Eukaryota; Fungi; Ascomycota; Eurotiomycetes; Eurotiales; Aspergillaceae. The record is from RNAcentral.
CGGAGGAUCAUUACCGAGUGAGGGCCCUCUGGGUCCAACCUCCCACCCGUGUUUAUUUUACCUUGUUGCUUCGGCGGGCCCGCCUUAACUGGCCGCCGGGGGGCUUACGCCCCCGGGCCCGCGCCCGCCGAAGACACCCUCGAACUCUGUCUGAAGAUUGUAGUCUGAGUGAAAAUAUAAAUUAUUUAAAACUUUCAACAACGGAUCUCUUGGUUCCGGCAUCGAUGAAGAACGCAGCGAAAUGCGAUACGUAAUGUGAAUUGCAAAUUCAGUGAAUCAUCGAGUCUUUGAACGCACAUUGCGCCCCCUGGUAUUCCGGGGGGCAUGCCUGUCCGAGCGUCAUUUCUGCCCUCAAGCACGGCUUGUGUGUUGGGCCCCGUCCUCCGAUCCCGGGGGACGGGCCCGAAAGGCAGCGGCGGCACCGCGUCCGGUCCUCGAGCGUAUGGGGCUUUGUCACCCGCUCUGUAGGCCCGGCCGGCGCUUGCCGAUCAACCCAAAUUUUUAUCCAGGUUGACCUCGGAUCAGGUAGGGAUACCCGCUGAACUUUAAGCAUAUC